RNAcentral lists this unclassified non-coding RNA (573 nucleotides) under Hevea brasiliensis (rubber tree). The record is from RNAcentral. Lineage: Eukaryota; Viridiplantae; Streptophyta; Magnoliopsida; Malpighiales; Euphorbiaceae.
GUUUGCAUAUGUAAGCCCAUGCUUUCAUAAACAUGAUCACACUUUUGCCGUCAAAGAUAGCAUGGUGGGAAGAGAUACCAAUGGAAAAGCCUUGAUAUGGAAAUAGUGUUAUUUGGAAGGCUAUAGUUGCCGCUGUUGAAUCCGAUACAGGCAACUCUUGAAUAUAAAGUUUUGACUCCAUAACUUCACGCACUUGGCUGCCAGAAACAAGAGUGAAGUCCGCAUUAGACUCGGCAACUGUGACCAAAACACCGUCGUUUGGGUAGUAGCAGAUGGCUGGCUUGGCGGCGUGCGGGAGCCACGAGAUGUUUCCAGCGAGAGGGAGAAAGUGGAGGAGUGUAAGGGAGAGAGAGGCUUUAAGUUUAGCGACGAUCACUGAGUGGAAAAACGUGUGGGUUGAAUCAGUGAGCUCAUAGAAAAAGAUACGCUCAGUUGGGUGUUGUUUGAGCCAAAAGAUGUCGAAGUGGGUGAGAGGGAGAUAUAACUCAGUAGCAGACUCAGGUGCGUCAGAAGGAGUGAUUCGGCAUUUCUCUAGUAUCUUGACUGGGUCGGUUGCUGCCAUGACAAUCGGAU